GAUGAAGAACGUAGUGAAAUGCGAUAAGUAAUGUGAAUUGCAGAAUUCAGUGAAUCAUCGAGUCUUUGAACGCACAUUGCGCCCCCUGGUAUUCCGGGGGGCAUGCCUGUCCGAGCGUCAUUGCUGCCCUCAAGCACGGCUUGUGUGUUGGGCCCCGUCCUCCGAUCCCGGGGGACGGGCCCGAAAGGCAGCGGCGGCACCGCGUCCGGUCCUCGAGCGUAUGGGGCUUUGUCACCCGCUCUGUAGGCCCGGCCGGCGCUUGCCGAUCAACCCAAAUUUUUAUCCAGGUUGACCUCGGAUCAGGUAGGGAUACCCGCUGAACUUAAGCAUAUCAAUAAGCGGAGGA
Molecule: unclassified non-coding RNA, 346 nt
Filed under: soil metagenome
Description: partial contains 5.8S ribosomal RNA, internal transcribed spacer 2, and large subunit ribosomal RNA
Rfam family: 5.8S ribosomal RNA (bases 1-120)
Source: RNAcentral